GAUGUGCUUCAAUACCGUC
Molecule: non-coding RNA, 19 nt
Filed under: Arabidopsis thaliana (thale cress)
Lineage: Eukaryota; Viridiplantae; Streptophyta; Magnoliopsida; Brassicales; Brassicaceae
Source: RNAcentral